AUCUAUGGUCAUGCCACCCUGAAUGUGCCCGAUGUGGUCUGAUCUCGGAAGCUAGGCAGAGUUAGGCCUGGUUAGUACUUGGAUGGGAGACCACCUCAGAAUACCAGGUGCUGUAGGUG
Molecule: ribosomal RNA, 119 nt
Filed under: Pteropus alecto (black flying fox)
Lineage: Eukaryota; Metazoa; Chordata; Mammalia; Chiroptera; Pteropodidae
Source: RNAcentral